CGCAGACCUACAGCAUUGCAGUUAUGGGACUAAAAGUUGAGUCUUGUGCCAAAUGAAUGCCACUCUUACUGUUGAUGCGUCAGUGUUUUUCAACACCAAAUUUGAGGACCAAAUGCAAGACGCAUUUCUUGUAAAUGUGAAUUUUACUGAGGAGGGAACAGAUGUAAUGGUGUCAAUCUGCAAUGGUGUCCUUUACAAACAAAGCUGUAUAUCUCUUUGAGGGGAGCAACUGGCCCAACAAACUGCUGUUGAAUCUAACCACAAUCAAGAAUGGACGGGCUGUGUGCUCCCUAAACACUGCUAAUCUUAAGGCUGAUCUGAAUCUGGUGGUACGACUUGUAUUUUGUAAAACUUAAGACUUUCUCUAACAUGAUACUGAUUAAGUUUGAUCUUCCCCAGGCGAGU
This is a non-coding RNA of Pimephales promelas (fathead minnow), 405 nucleotides long. The record is from RefSeq and is a predicted model, not a curated record. NCBI's taxonomy places the organism in Eukaryota, Metazoa, Chordata, Actinopteri, Cypriniformes, Leuciscidae.